GAUUGGGCACGUUGCCGACGUGGGCGGGCAGGGUUUGCCAGCUGGGGGCUUGACGACUGGGGGAACAGUGACAGGGGGCACGGUGAUGGGGGGUAUGGUCACAGGGGGUAGGGUGAUGGGCGGCUUGACGACCGGUGGGAGGGGCAGAGGUGGGAGCGGUGGGAGGGGCAGAGGUGGGAGCGGUGGGAGGGGCAGAGGUGGCAGCGGUGGGAGGGGCAGAGGUGGGAGCGGUGGGAGGGUGACUGGCGGCUUGACGAUCGGUGGGAGGGGCAGAGGUGGGAGGGUGACUGGCGGCUUGACGAUCGGCGGCAAUGUGACUGGCGGCUUGACGAUUGGUGGGAGGGUCACGGGUGGCUUGACGAUGGGUGGCAAUGUGACGGGUGGCUUGACGAUGGGCGGGACAACAACAAUGGGCCUCUUGGG
This 423-nucleotide long non-coding RNA is filed under the name Eucalyptus grandis. RNAcentral's name for it is "long non-coding RNA (EGRA_LNC001415)". Lineage: Eukaryota; Viridiplantae; Streptophyta; Magnoliopsida; Myrtales; Myrtaceae. The record is from RNAcentral.